CUAAAGUGGAGGUGGUCCACUUCUUGUCAUGUCCGGAAGAUUAUUUAUUCAUCAACCAUCAAUCCGCGACGGCCGCGGUGGUUGUAAUUUUACUACUGGCAUCAUUAACUACAGUGAGCCUUUGUGGAGAGAGUGUGUUAAAAGAGUAAAACCGGUUUAGCAAAACGUUUCAUAGGUACAGGUUAUAGAAGAGGCCAAUUUGGCUGACCGACUUGCAAGCUGCAAGUGUGAUAAGAUCGUGCACUGCAUCAAAUUAAUUACUAGUUUGUACUUUUGGGUUGAUUCCUUCACAUUUGCUAUGAUGCGAUGGUAUGGACGUUGAGUAAGAGCGGCGGGAGGUCAAGGAUGGAAGGUCACUGCGAGGGACCGCUUGAGGAAGAAAGAGAAACAGGGCACGAACUGCCGCAGAACUGCAUAGUACACCAGAUAGGUUCUCGCUUCACGCACUAGUUUAUACAUAGUGGCGAAUGACGACGAGGGAAGACGGAAGCCGGAUAAUGGAUAUGUCGGACUUCUAUUAAAUCGCUCAGAUCUGGGCUCAUCUUCCUGCGACGCAUUCGCAUAAAUCGUACUUGUCUCCUAGAUACGUCUCCUAGGAUACUACUGGAAAAGGAAAAAAAACCGAGAGGAGAACUGAGGCCAACCCGCACAUCACCCUUUUUAGAAACAAGACAUCCGUUUGGGGGGGGGGCGUCUCUUCAAAAUAGCCAAGAAGAGAUACGCAGUUAGUUAAGAGCAUGGGACAGUAGGCUCCUUCCUUCUUCUUGGCUCUCUUGGCUCCUCCUGCGCCUACUAGAAAAUAAAUAAUUACUAUUUGCAUAACAUACACAUGUCCGUUGUUGGCACAAAAUAUUCUCUCGUUGACGUCACCCGGGUUAUCAAAUAUUCUCUAUUUUUUAGGCCCGCGAAAAAUCGGCUGUGAGCUUUGUUGUGUGCCUACCAUUAAAAGUUGUUUGACCUCGGAUUAUUUGGUUCUCAAAAGUGCAGCAACCCCCCGGCACGCAACGAGGAAUUUAACAGCCGAGGAAUGCUAUUAGCUUAUGCAUGCGGCAUCUACGAUUGCGAGGCCUGUGAGCAAGGGCGUUACCUUUGUGAGCUGGCUGCCCUCGUCUGAAGAGAGCCAAGUCACUGGCGCCACGCGAAGUCGAAGAAUGAUUCGCCUGGCUGGCGUCGGUUGGUGGUGGUGGACCGCGCACUUUGUUGGUGUAGGGAGUAAACCUUAAGGUCGUAGUCGACUGGACCUAUCCAGUUUGCUCCACGGAUCCUUACAUCGCUCCUCCUUUGCCCUUCUUCAAUGUGGGGCUCAAGAGUUAUGAUGCUGUUGGGUAUCCUUGGAGGGACGUGUAGAGAAGGGAGGUAAGCCCAUUGUGUCGAGCGCGGUAGUGGGGACGCCUACCAAGGCAGAGUUCUUCGUAGCCUAGAUGGUUCUUUUAAUGGCAUGCCUGACAGGUGGAGUGGUUGGAAUGGGGCGUGCGGUUAUAUUAUUUUGCAAAUUGCUGAAUGAUUUUCCACUUUUGUGGGCUUCCACAACAGUUCAUUUGGUAGUGGGGGUGGCCUGGGGUCCCAUUAUGGGGAAGAACCAGAUAGUUA
This 1590-nucleotide small RNA is filed under the name Cryptococcus neoformans H99. RNAcentral's name for it is "Cryptococcus neoformans var. grubii H99 hypothetical RNA". The record is from RNAcentral. Lineage: Eukaryota; Fungi; Basidiomycota; Tremellomycetes; Tremellales; Cryptococcaceae.